Molecule: unclassified non-coding RNA, 4249 nt
Filed under: Dendronephthya gigantea
Lineage: Eukaryota; Metazoa; Cnidaria; Anthozoa; Malacalcyonacea; Nephtheidae
Description: uncharacterized LOC114528428, transcript variant X2
Source: RNAcentral
ACGUGAUUACACACUGGAAUCGCUUCUUUUAUUGUGUGCUCAGGUUGGUUGGCAAACAUUCUAAAAUGUUGCAAACGGAAAUGUUCCAAAAUGUAACAAUUUUUAACAGCGAUUUGUUGCAAGCGAGCGUUGUUUGGCAUGCGAGUUAUUCCCUGCAACGGUUUCCCGUCGCGAGGCGCUAAAUUCGGCACAUGCAGCCGGUGAAGACCGGCGUUACAACCACAAAAUAACAAGUCCGCCCCCGCUGUGUAUGUUGACGGGCAAUGGCAGAUUCGAAUGAUGAUUCAAAAACAAAGAUAAAUUGAAAUACGCUAUAGAGAACUCGUUCACGCACGAAGCUCGAUCUUUUUGCGUCCCGGUGGACUUUGCUUCGCCUUCGAAACAUCGUCCAGGGAAUUUUGAACGGGGAGGUGUAAUCUUUUCGUUUGAGGGUUCAUUUGGACCGCAUGUGAUUCGUCCACUAAGAGUAGCCCUUGGCAAGGUUAUUUUGGGUCGCGCCAGUUGGGUGGAUUGACGUAAGAGGGAAUGCUUGAAUAAUCUUGUUAUGAGUUUUGUUUGUGAGUGCACUUGCCUUGGCUAUGUCGGUCUAAGUAUUUGCCGCUCCGUGUGUAGGAACAGCCUGCGUUUUACAGCGUGCGUAAUCGGAACAUUUUACCUUACGAGCGUGGCAAGCAUCUGACUUUUUCCUUUACGUCGCGUUCUUACUCGUUAUAAUUAUUUUUACGGAAAUCGGGUCCCCGGCUGAAUGUGGUCGGUGUGUUGGCAAAGUAACCGAGGAAAGGACUCUUGGAUUUGCUGUACUUUUGCAAAGCAAACAUUCGCUGAAACUUUUCAGCUCUGAUUCGAAACUUUUGAAGCGAUCUUCAGUAAAGCUUCGUAGACGCUGGACUUCGUCCCUCUCUCGAGCUCAGCCGUUCAUUACAAGAUUUCGUGCUCAAGUGCAUUAGUAAGUGAAUAUCGAAAUCCUGAUAAAUUUUAUCGUCGUGAUUAAAAGCUCCAUAUAUCUCUCGUCGUCCGGACAGCAUAUCUGUUGUAAAGAAAAGCUGUAAACCUGACAAAGUGGCGUGUUGUUUUGCAAAAGGCAAACGCAGAUCGCGAUGGAAAAUACAUCGUCAGGGAACGAUCGAGCAAACUCUUUGCUGAUGCUAAGCCGUGCCGUGUAUGUAAAAAAGUCGGACAAUACUUUCUACCCGGGCACGAUCGAUACCAAAUUACCCGAUGGAAGUUACUUGGUGAAAUUCACAGACAGUUCUAGCGAUAGAGUUGCCGAGAAUCAUAUAGUGUGGUUAGGAUUUUGGGGUCUGCCACCGAAGUGCUGGCCCCGAAAUCCAAUCGUUCAAACAGCCGGUCCAAUCGAUAUGGCGUUGGAUUUUCUCGAUAGGCACAAAAACAGUGACAAUUCAUCGCAUUCCGUUUCUCGUAAAACGCAUUUACCAGAUAGAAAUGUUAGAGGAGUGAUUGGGUUCCAAGAAAUGGAUUUUGGGUCGGGCAGCAUUCCGAGAUGUUCUGAGAACGAUGCUCUGAGUCAAGAUGAUGACGGGAUAAAUGAAUUUGAGACGAGCCCUGCUCAUGUCCAGCCAAGACAAGUCUCUGAGAAUCCAGCAAGGAUGAGCGUGCUCAGGAUGUGCUGUGAUGGAACUUUGAAGCAGGAACGAAUCAAACCAGUGAAGCAACCAAUCAUUUCAACAGAACAAGGUAAAGUCUUCGUCGUUCUUUUGAAAUUUUUUUCCCAAAGCUCGUUGUGUUUGUUCUUUGCAUGCGCGUACACGUGAUCCAUUGUCUGAAAGAUAUACCUUCAAGGGAUCCAUUGUCUCCAAACGAUGCCUACACGUGCAGCAGUCUGCUGUAAGAAUGUUCUUAAGUCUAACCAAUAUUACAACGGUGGUUAAAUACAUUGAAAUCAAAUUCUCAUCGUUUUGCAUUGUCAGGUUAUGUUUCUUGCAUGUAAAGAACACUUGCCAGUCUCCCUUUGGAAUAACAAGUUGUACUUCUUUCCCCUGCAUUAUUGUAUAAGCUAUUUUGGGGAUACUUGAGCAGCAUAGGGGAGCCCUUCAUUCUUUAAAAAGGCAUAUAAUCAAUUAAUGGAACAGAACGGCGGUGUCGGUCUUGUCAUUUUAUCAUUGACGUCUGUUUCCGCUUCCAUGCGAGAUUUUAAAUGCGUUUAACUGAAAUUGAACAUGUAUCUAGGCUGAAACUUGCUGUCAAGUUGAUCUUCUCUUAACACGUAAGAUAACUAAAUAAGGCGUUGCGUGCUCAGAACAGGUUUGAGAUGACCGACGUUAAACAUGGCAGAUGGUUUUGAGCAUCUCUUAUAUGCGUGCAUGAGUUUUUUUCGUGCAAAAAAGGGAAAUAUGUUAGCGUCAUUAAGGUACAACGCGUCCUGUUGGAGUUGAAUUAUUAAUAGUUGGAUUAUAUGGGUCAAACCUGCUCGUGGGCGGGGCCGACACCCAAAACGAUAGGCAGAACCCGCACUCAACGCUGUUGCAUUCCUGGGAAGGAAAAGUAUAAAGCUUUUGUUCUCGUGGUAUUUUUAAAUACGUCUUUUCGUUCUUUUCAUAACCAUUCGGGGAAAGAAUGCGUGUGCAUGUGUGUUCAAAUUACAAAGCAUAUAGCGUGACCAACAAGAACCAUCGACUUUCAAUUACUUACGUCAGUACUCGUGAAUUAAUGCUAGCUGCUUCCUGUACGUAAACUGGAGCAAAUGUUAUUGUCUUCCUCACGAUAUCUGGCAAAUGGUAUUUUCACAAUUGUAUAUAUUUCCAUCGAGUUGAAUAUGGAGAUGUUAAACGAGAAAACAAAAAAUAAUCGUUUAACAUAAACUUAAACAAUCCUUGAGCAUAAUGGAUUUAAAUUGGCUCUAAUAGCGUCCUUUACAAUGAGUUACUGUUUUACCGCAUUUCACGUCAGUGAAAGGGGAAGAAAACAGAGAUUUUACCUUUGAUGAGUACUGCAAUACGAUUCAGAUAAAAAAUGAUUCAUCAUUUGGAAAGAGGAAAUUAUCUUCAUCUGAAUAUGAUAAAUGUUCAGUUAAAGAGGGAUGUAUUAGGCCGGAGAAUAGGCCUCGAAAUUCCUUUCAGAAACAUUACCCAAGUUCUCCUCUUCUAUCGCCGCAUAUUCAGAACUACGAUCGCCCAUUUGGAAUUCCUAUGUACGAUUCAUCCUCCCCUCCAAGGCCAGCAAGCAUCAGGUUGCAGCCUCGCGCAAGGAGACGAUCUGAGAACAAGAAAUGCCGAAAGGUUUACGGCAUCGAAAAUAGGGAUAUUUGGUGCACCCAGUGCAAAUGGAAGAAAGCGUGCACGCGGUUCACGGGGAGUGAAAAAGUAGAGAUCCCAGGAUUAAUGUACAUAGCAGAUUACGAGGGGUUACAUUAUCCACUGUAGGAAAGGUUUUGGGAGACGAAAUGAUUUUAUGACAAAGAUUUUAAGAAGCAGUCAACGUGUCUUGCAAACGGAUGUGAGUGCGUUUUCAAAUGAUGCACAUUUCAUGCAAAAUGUUUUGUAGUUUGGAAUUUUGCGAGGAGAAAUUGCAAGUCAAAACAGAUUUAAAAACAGCAAGAAAAAAAUACAAUAUGCUGGUUGAAUAUGAACGUGAUUGAAUCAAAGGUUUGUGAACGGCCGUUUGUUAUAUGCAGUGAUGACUUGAAAAGCCAAUAUGCUGUUUAUCAUGAUGGUGGCAACUAGCAAGGCAAUCUUUGGAUGAAUCUAAGGAUUCCUCGUGUCCUCGGCCAGUUAUUCAGAGAAUACUUGUGCAGAAGAACUUAGUCUCACGUUUCACAAGGUAUUUUAACGUUUCAGUUUGAAUCCGUGAUGUAUUUGCAUCGUGAAAAUAAAAGAAAACCCAAUAUUUAAUUUCUGCUUGAAAACUUCCCUAACAAUAUAUACAUAUUGUAUAAACUAUGGACGCUUACCUUUAUACGGUAAAAACGGUCAGACCGGUCCUGUUGUGUUUCAGAAUACAGACAGAUUACUGGCAUUUUUGAGUGUUUUAAGAAAUCUACAUUCAAGUUUAUCGGUAUUUACAUCCGCCUAGCAUGAAAAAUACAGUUAUACCGCUAUAUUUCUAAAGAAAUACUCUAUUUCAAUCCAAAAUAUGACCGGUCUGACGAUUUUGGUCGCUUAAUGGAAGCGUCCUAGGAUUAUAUCGAACUGAUAAUGUAUUUAAAAUUUAUAGUAAAUUAUUUUAGUUGUUAUAGAAUCAGAUGUGUUCGAUUAUAUGGGUAAUUGUAUAGUUCUUCAUAAUAUUGUAAAAA